GUAACAUAGAGGAGCACCUGCCAACUUAUACAGCUGCUGGUGCUAGGCCCAGUAGUAUUGUAGUAGGGAGACGUUGAACUUGAUAACUUGGUAAAAGAUGUUCGUUGAGCAGGUGCAUAGAAGAAGAUUUUUCUGGGAAAUGGAAAGCUCCCUCACAGGAAAGCAGCAGCAGCAAAGAGCAACUGCUUCUGGAAGUGAGAUGGAGGUUGGUGCAGAUGAUUUACUAGCUAAAUACUUUAAGGCACUCAAUAUAUACUACAUGAUGAUACAUGAUAGUAAUUUUGGGAGCAGACCUAUAUCACCAUUCUUGCUAUCGUCAUUGUAUUAUUACAGUUAUUAAUAAAAAUCAUUGCUAUGCAUUGUUUUCCCAUCCUUCCCGCAAUCAAUCACUCCACCCCUUUAUCCUGUUUUCUGUCUCUAUUUAUCCUCUGUCCCUUUACUCUCUCUCUCUCUCUCUCUCUCAAUCCAACCGGUCAAGACAGAUAGCCGCCCAGCAGAGACUGGUUUCUGUUCAAAGUUUGUUCCCCAGACGGGCUUUUUUCUUGCCUCAUUUGCCAAGUGCUUGUUCAUGUGGGGUUCAGUUGGUUUUCUUUAAUGUAAGAGGAGCGUGGGUCUUGACCUGCUUUGGGUGUAAAGUGCCUUGAUGUAAUUUCUGCUGUGAAUUGGCGCUGCGGUGUAUAACAAAAAAAAAGGACUUUACUUGACUAUGUAGCAGAGGUGAGAGAAAGUCAGUGUUUUGCAAGCCUCAAGUAAGUCUUGCAAGUUUUUAAUCCCAAGUCUCGAGUCAAGUCUCAAGUAGAAAAGUGCAAGGUGCAGGUUGUCUUGGAAGACGUUCAUUGAGCAUGAACUGAUGAAGCCUGCUCGGGUGACAGGCGAAACCUGUGAUUGAUUCAAUGCCCUGAGAAUUCACUGGAAAUCUCAAGUAUUUUCAAGUCAUCAGACUAAAGUUCGAGUUUCAAGUAUUUGAUGAUAUCGUCAAUUCGAGUCCAAAGUCAUGGCCGUACGGUGGUCUAGUGGUUAGCACGUUGGCCAACAUAGUAACAGCCUGGAGAUUGGGAAGACCUGGGUUCGAUUCUCCCGUGGGCAUUUCUGUGUGGAGUUUGCAUGUUCUACAUGAUGCCGGGUACUCAGGCUUCCUCCCACAUUCCAAAAACAA
Dunckerocampus dactyliophorus (ringed pipefish) is the source of this 1156-nucleotide long non-coding RNA. RefSeq lists it as uncharacterized. Lineage: Eukaryota; Metazoa; Chordata; Actinopteri; Syngnathiformes; Syngnathidae. The record is from RefSeq and is a predicted model, not a curated record. The transcript has 2 exons.